CCUGCCUGUCUGGGCAUGCUGUGAAGCUGAGUGGGAGAGGUUCCUCUUUCAGCUUUGGUGCCUCCGUAGCCUUCCUCUCUCCCUCUGUGUUGAUGCUUGAGGGCACUUAACGAACCUGAGGAUAUGACCCAGGCACUAAGACCUGCAUAAGGGCACCGAGAAGCUGGGUAGUGAGCUGGUUUUCUUCCACCGCUUAAAUAUCUAGGGAGGAAAAAGCUUUCACCUUGCUGAGAUGCAUUUCUUGUUUGAAUGAUAACCCAGGAAUUUCUUGGCUUCUUAGUGUUACAAGUUCUGCCUCUGUAAACACAGUGAAGGGCAGCAAUAGCUGGAAGCUUUCAGGUGUGCUUUUCCAGCCAGCUCUGUGGCCUGAGGAGCUGUUUCUGUUCUCUCCUUGCAUCAUGCAUCCAAUGAAUUCCCAGGGUCUCCAAUUGCUUCUAACAGAAAGCCAGACAAAGCUGCAAUGCCACGCAAGCACUGGCAGCCAGCUUCCUCUGAAAGCAUCUGAUUUCACCACGGCCUUCCAGUGGCACUACACACAUGAAUAUGCAAUGGAUUUGAACACAGAGCUUGAAUUUCUUCCCUGCAGCAGCAGUAGGGCUGCAAACCAUUCUGUGGAGCUCGAGCAGGGCGGCAAUGAAUGCUGCAUGCUGCUCUGCAGUAACCCCUUGGACCCAUCUGGAGGUGGUUUGGGCUGGUGGGAGGCAGGGAAAGCUCUGAAAUGCGAAGGUGAGAAGCCGUAUGCAACUCCUGAAUUCCAGCAUUCUCUGCUGGCUUCUAAAAGUCACUGGUGA
This 791-nucleotide long non-coding RNA is filed under the name Numida meleagris (helmeted guineafowl). Its description in RNAcentral is "lncRNA (ENSNMEG00000010975.1)". The record is from RNAcentral. Lineage: Eukaryota; Metazoa; Chordata; Aves; Galliformes; Numididae.